This 72-nucleotide transfer RNA is filed under the name Camelus bactrianus (Bactrian camel). It matches the Rfam family "tRNA". Rfam says of the family: Transfer RNA (tRNA) molecules are approximately 80 nucleotides in length. Their secondary structure includes four short double-helical elements and three loops (D, anti-codon, and T loops). The record is from Rfam by way of RNAcentral. Lineage: Eukaryota; Metazoa; Chordata; Mammalia; Artiodactyla; Camelidae. RNAcentral also lists the same sequence under 2 other names.
GAGGGUGUAGCUCAUUGGUAGAGCGUGUGCCUAGCAUGCACAAGGUCCUAGGUUCAAUCCGCAGUACCUCCA